UGGGGAAUAUUGCGCAAUGGGCGGAAGCCUGACGCAGCGACGCCGCGUGGGGGAUGAAGGCCUUCGGGUUGUAAACCUCUUUCACCACCGACGAAGCUAACGUGACGGUAGGUGGGGAAGAAGCGCCGGCUAACUACGUGCCAGCAGCCGCGGUAAUACGUAGGGCGCAAGCGUUGUCCGGAAUUAUUGGGCGUAAAGAGCUCGUAGGCGGUUUGUCGCGUCUGCCGUGAAAACCCGAGGCUUAACCUCGG
RNAcentral lists this ribosomal RNA (251 nucleotides) under uncultured Actinoallomurus sp. RNAcentral's name for it is "partial 16S ribosomal RNA". It matches the Rfam family "Bacterial small subunit ribosomal RNA", at positions 355 to 618 of the family's 1533-position model. Lineage: Bacteria; Bacillati; Actinomycetota; Actinomycetes; Streptosporangiales; Thermomonosporaceae. The record is from RNAcentral.